RNAcentral lists this ribosomal RNA (260 nucleotides) under uncultured bacterium. RNAcentral's name for it is "partial 16S ribosomal RNA". It matches the Rfam family "Bacterial small subunit ribosomal RNA", at positions 792 to 1025 of the family's 1533-position model. The record is from RNAcentral.
AGCUUUGUUUUUAAACGUACCAGCUAAUAUUUGCUUGUUUUAAAAAUUUAUUUUAGCUAACGCGCAAGCAUUCCGCCUGGGGACUACGGCCGCAAGGUUGAAACUCAAAGGAAUUGACGGAGGAUCACACAAGCGGUGGAGCAUGUGGCUUAAUGCGUAAUAACGCGCAAAACCUUACCAGUUUUUGAAUGUUAAAGGAUUUACUUUCAUGCAGUAAAAUUAUCAUUUCUUCUAUUCUUUUGAGUUAAAAAAAUGAAAUU